GGGGAAUAUUGCACAAUGGGCGCAAGCCUGAUGCAGCGACGCCGCGUGAGGGAUGACGGCCUUCGGGUUGUAAACCUCUUUCAGCAGGGAAGAAGCGCAAGUGACGGUACCUGCAGAAGAAGCGCCGGCUAACUACGUGCCAGCAGCCGCGGUAAUACGUAGGCAGCAAGCGUUGUUCGGAGUUACUGGGCGUAAAGAGUGCGUAGGCGGUUUUCUAAGUUCGGUGUGAAAUCUCCCGGCUUAACUGGGAGGGUGCGCCGAAGACUGGGAAGCUGGAGUGUGGGAAAGGCAGGCGGAACUCCUGGUGUAGCGGUGAAAUGCGUAGAUAUCAGGAGGAACACCGGCGGUGUAGACGGCUUGCUAGACCAUAACUGACGCUGAGGCACGAAAGCGUGGGUAGCAAACA
Molecule: ribosomal RNA, 406 nt
Filed under: uncultured bacterium
Lineage: Bacteria
Description: bacterial SSU rRNA
Rfam family: Bacterial small subunit ribosomal RNA
Source: RNAcentral